Molecule: ribosomal RNA, 272 nt
Filed under: uncultured bacterium
Lineage: Bacteria
Description: partial 16S ribosomal RNA
Rfam family: Bacterial small subunit ribosomal RNA
Source: RNAcentral
UACAGAGGCCCCCAAGCGUUAUCCGGAAUCACUGGGCGUAAAGGGUGUCGAGGCGGUCAUGUUAGUCGUUCGUAAAAUCCGUGGGCUCAACCUACGGCCGGCGAGCGAAACGGCAUGACUUGAGGUUUGGAGAGGUGCGUGGAACUCACGGUGUAGGGGUGAAAUCCGUUGAUAUCGUGGGGAACACCAAAGGCGAAGGCAGCGCACUGGCCAAAAUCUGACGCUCACACACGAAAGCUAGGGUAGCGAACGGGAUUAGAUACCCUGGUAGU